Molecule: ribosomal RNA, 253 nt
Filed under: uncultured bacterium
Lineage: Bacteria
Description: partial 16S ribosomal RNA
Rfam family: Bacterial small subunit ribosomal RNA
Source: RNAcentral
UACAGGGGGGGCAAGCGUUGUUCGGAAUUACUGGGCGUAAAGGGCUCGUAGGCGGCCGGCUAAGUCCGACGUGAAAUCCCCAGGCUUAACCUGGGAACUGCGUCGGAUACUGGCGGGCUUGAAUCCGGGAGAGGGAUGCGGAAUUCCAGGUGUAGCGGUGAAAUGCGUAGAUAUCUGGAGGAACACCGGUGGCGAAGGCGGCAUCCUGGACCGGCAUUGACGCUGAAUAGCGAAAGCCAGGGGAGCAAACGGG